Molecule: ribosomal RNA, 265 nt
Filed under: uncultured prokaryote
Description: partial 16S ribosomal RNA
Rfam family: Bacterial small subunit ribosomal RNA
Source: RNAcentral
UACGGAGGAUCCGAGCGUUAUCCGGAUUUAUUGGGUUUAAAGGGUGCGCAGGCGGGAGAUUAAGUCGGCGGUGAAAUUUUGCAGCUCAACUGUAAAAGUGCCUUCGAUACUGGUUUCCUUGAGUGUGGAUGAAGUAGGCGGAAUUUGUGGUGUAGCGGUGAAAUGCUUAGAUAUCACGAGGAACUCCGAUUGCGAAGGCAGCACACUAAGUCAUUAUUGACGCUGAGGCACGAAAGUGUGGGGAGCAAACAGGAUUAGAUACCCU